CAAUAGCGUAUAUUAAAGUUGUUGCAGUUAAAAAGCUCGUAGUUGGAUUUGUGGCGUACGGUGUGUUCCGGGCACUUGUUGUCUGAGUAACCUGCUGUUGCCAUCCUUGGGUGGAACCUGUGUGGCAUUAGGUUGUCGUGCAGGGGAUGCCCAUCAUUUACUGUGCAAAAAUUAGAGUGUUCAAAGCAGGCUUAUGCCGUUGAAUAUAUUAGCAUGGAAUAAUGAGAUAGGACUUUUUUGCUAUUUUGUUGGUUUGCGCAAAGAGGUAAUGAUUAAUAGGGACAGUUGGGGGUAUUCGUAUUCCAUUGUCAGAGGUGAAAUUCUUGGAUUUUUGGAAGACGAACUACUGCGAAAGCAUUUACCAAGGAUGUUUUCAUUAA
RNAcentral lists this ribosomal RNA (380 nucleotides) under uncultured eukaryote. RNAcentral's name for it is "partial 18S ribosomal RNA". It matches the Rfam family "Eukaryotic small subunit ribosomal RNA", at positions 592 to 976 of the family's 1831-position model. The record is from RNAcentral.